AAGCUCGUAGUUGAAUUUCGGGGUUAGUAGGUUGGUCAUGCCUCUGGUAUGUAUUGGUCUCACUGAUUCCUCCUUCCUUAUGAACCGUAAUGCCAUUAAUUUGGUGUUGCGGGGAAUUUGGACUGUUACUUUGAAAAAAUUAGAGUGUUUAAAGCAAGCUAACGCUUGAAUACAUUAGCAUGGAAUAAUGAAAUAGGACGUUCGAUCUUAUUUUGUUUGGUUUUCUUAGGAUUGACGUAAUGAUUAAUAGGGAUAGUUGGG
Molecule: ribosomal RNA, 261 nt
Filed under: uncultured Glomus
Lineage: Eukaryota; Fungi; Glomeromycota; Glomeromycetes; Glomerales; Glomeraceae
Description: partial 18S ribosomal RNA
Rfam family: Eukaryotic small subunit ribosomal RNA
Source: RNAcentral